AGACAAAGGGUCAGCAUGGUGCCACCGCUGGAAUAUGGCCUUUAGCAUCCGCCCAAGAGGGCUGAGUGACAGCUAUGGCUUGGGGGAAGGUUGCCACAGGAAGGUGAGACAGGGUCAUUCUCAUGAACGGAAUUUCUAACAUGGAACGCAGGGCCAGCCGGGCAAAGUCCUGUCGGAUGGCAAGUUUUACUACAAGCUCAGAUUCUGCUACCUUCUAGCACAUGACAGAAGGACUCAGAACUGACACGCCUUACUGAGACGCAGCUGCAAAUAAUGGUGUGCAACCAAGACGGUGGAGUCCUUGGGGUGCCGGCCCAAGCAGCGGCAAGACAGGAGCAGCACAAGCUCACCAGGGCGCGGAAGGCCCUCUCCACUACACAUGGACAGUAGGUAGAAAUGGGAGUGGAGGAGCCCAUCCUGACCUGCAAGUUCCGCAGGGUUGCCUGCUCUGGGAUGGCACCUACUUCCCUCCGGCAGGCAGUGAAGCCCAACAGAAGCAGCCCGCUGUGCUGUGAUCCAUGCUGGGUUCUACAGAAACAGCACGCAAGGUGGGGACCUGACCAUGCUGGGUUCUACAGAAACAGCACACAAGGAGGGGACCUGACCAGGCCGCUAAGCCCCUCUCCUCUCUGGCAGCCUCCAACCUAAUCCCUUCUCCCGGACAAAGUUUCUCCCCAGAAGCUGGAGCAGGGGGGCUCACAGCCUUGCCGGAGGGGAUGAUCCUGGGCUGCUGACAAAGAGAGUGGCCAUGGUUUCUUCACAUUCACAGGAAUCAGGGAAAAUUAUUUUUUUUAAAGAAAUUAAGGGAAACAGAUUUCAAAACUUAUGGAAAAGAGGCGAAUAUGAUCUAAUAGCACCAGAGAUUCUAAAAGAGGCUGAAAAACUCUCAGAAGACAAAUUCUCUCCCAACAACCAGAAAACAGGCCACGAGGAGGAAAACAGAAGGCAUCUGAAGGCCUCAUGGUCCCCAGGUGUGGAAGUGGGUACUGGGGACAGCAAAACGUGCAUCCAUGCCUUCACCUGAGGGCAGGGGUUUGGAAGCCAGUCUCUUGCAGGUCUCCCUCACCCAGGUCCUGGGACGCCCCACGCAGAGUCGACCUUUAAGGGCUUGCAGCCUGGAGGAUGGGGCCGACGUGUAUGUGGAUGUGCCCAGCGUACUUGCCAGCAAGAAGCGAGCGCCAGGAGUGCAGGAGAAGGACCCCAAACCUCUGACUUCUAGGAGGCGUUUCCUUUCCCUGUGCCUCCACCUCUAUCUUGCCAGCUGCGCCUUCCAAGAAGAGGUGGCCAGAGCCCGGGUUCCACUGGGAUGAGGGGCACUGUAAAUACUGAAACUGUCUGUGACCUGCCACUUUGCAAUGGUGGGGUAGGCUCUGGCGGGGGGAAAAGGGGCGGUGCCUGUCUGUGCCAGGGAGAGGUUGAUAAGGAAGCACCUGCCUGCCAAGAAGCCCGACGGGGCCCUCGAGGCCAAGGCAGCAGCCACCAAGGCAAAGCACAGAGCGAGGGGACACUGCUGCAUGGGAAGCUGGAGAGGCGGCCCAACACGGGCGUGAAAGGCCAUGUCGUCCUCCGGGGGCAGCGGCCAGUGGUGAAGGACUAUCUGGAAGGCUGUUGGCGGAUGGGUGGCUACUGAGAGGGCUCAUUUCCUGAGGAUCUUUAUCAUUUCCAAAUCGGCCAUGGCUAGGAGGGAGAGGCGGGCUGAAGGGGCAGCCUGGUGCACACAAGUGUCAUGUCUAUGGCAGGGUCUAUGGUGGUACCAAACAAUGUGUCCAUAAGAACGUAAGAACCCCCAUAAGAACAAGGUCGGGAGGUGAAAGCCCAAGUGCUCAGAGUAAAAGUGCUCAGAUCAAGAAAAAGAGCUGUAAAAAAUGUGCCACGAGAAAGAAGGGAAAAGGGAAAGAGCUGCCAGGGGCCGGGGGUACCUUCCAAACCCCAGCUCUCUCUCUGCCUUCUCCACCAAGGAGGGUCACCUCAAAACUAGCCAGGAAGAGCAAACCCAGCCAAGUGGGAUCUGAAGACCAACACUGACAAGAGGGAGAAAAGCAUUCUGUUGAUAACCAUAAAACUGUGCAAGGUUCCCAGCAUGAACUCAUCUGUGGUGGAAAGAAAGCUUAGAGAAUCAGGGAGAGGCUGGGAGCCUCGAGGUUGGAAAUCCUAGAAGGGCCCAGUCCUUGACUGGAGCUUAUGGGUCUCAUGUUUAUCCUGAGAACAGUGCCAAGCGGCUAAUUUAAAAAGCAGGUAUAGCCUUAGGCUGCACUAGGGAAAGUGAUGGGCUGACGUGUUCUGCUCCACUGCCUAGGCGUUUGAUGAUUUCAGCAAUGCAUACGGCCACAGCUGUGUGGGACAGGGCAACGUGGGGAGAGACGAGACACACGGGAGGCCCAGGGAGCUGCGCGAGUGUCACGUGAACAGGGGUCAUGACGGGUCCCUAGGAAGCAUCACGUGUGCCCCACAGGACCCAGGUUUCUGUGGACACGCGGGUGUUCUUUCUCACCUGAGGACUUCAAAAUGUUAACAUGCUUCCUGGGCCCAGGUGCAACUUCAAAUUGGUCCUUACUGGCAUUUUCUACUAUGUGGUUGUGUCUGUGGUUCUAUCAGAUGUCUAGUCAGAGGACUCAACCUAUUCAUUCCCCUCUUUUUGUGUUCACUGCAGCUUGAUGGAGAACUGGCAUCUCUGUGUUAGCAAGAAGAUGGGGCUCUGGUAGCACCAUCUGUGCCUGGGACUGGGAGGCUGUAAAUAGCAGGGGGUGACGGGUCAACUAAAGAGCUUCCCCGAGGAGAAAAAUGGUUCAUACAGGGGUCACAUCUGUGGCAGGGUUUGUCUACUGAAGGUGUGUGUAAAUCUACCGAUCAAGAGACUGGCUUUUAAAAAAACAACACCCCCCACCACCAAAACCCACACAAAUUUGAAGACUAUAAACUUUAUAUUUAUCUAUAAGAUAUAGAUACAUAUAUAUAAUUCAUAAAAUUAUUCCUUGGCAUAAAAUAUACCCCUAGCUACUUAUGUAUAUGUGCAGCCCUCUUUCCCUAUGUUAGGGACCACUGAGUGUCCCGGUGGUGGAGCUGGUGGCUGAGGAGAGCUGUCAUUCUUUGCAUAUAGCACAUGCCAGGUAUUUCACUAAGCUUUUACCCCUUUUAAAGUCUUAAAAGGUGAGCAAUUCUUGUUGCCUCUGUGUGGCAUCUGGGGAAACUGAAGAUGGCAGUUUUGAGUGACUUUCCUGAAGCCACUUGGCUAGUGAGUGGUGGAGCCUGGAUUUGAACCCAAGCCCUGUGGCUCCAGGGCCCACAGCUAUAAGCACCAAGCUAUGUAGCCAAUUCCAGCUUGACCUAAAUCCCUCUGCCUCCAUCCCUCUUCCCUCAUUAAAUCAACAGACACAUACAGGGCAGUUAGAUGUCAUGAGAGCCACAGGCGUGACAGACAGCCCCCCCAGCUGAACCCAUCUCCAGUUUCAAAGGAGGGAACUUGUAAGAGAUCAGUGGUGUCAGCUCCAGUUCGUGCACCCUGGCCCUCUGGAAACUUCUUUUUUGGUAACAAUCAGUUCAUUCUUCAAGCCACAUCAGUUAAGAGCCAUCUCCAGGGAGGACUACAGGCCACUGAAAACUGUCUGGCACCGGAUUCAUAGUGAGCAGGUUUCGAGGCACUGUUGUUUGCCAUAUGUGCUGUUUCUUGGCAGCGCUUUGUGGUUCUUUUAGCCUUGUACUGGGCUCAGAAGAUACAAAAAGACCCCAGAAGAAUUUCAUGGCACCAUUAAAACCCAUUUACCUUACUGUGCCCGAGCAAGUGGGACAUCCGACCCAGAGCUGGGGACACAGUAGUCAGCCUUUAAGAGAAAAUGAAGACCCUUUUGAGCAAAGACCACAGACUAGCUAAAAGCACUUCACAAGCACUGCCCGUAGGUGCAGGAGACACCCAGGCCUGGGAGAGGGAAGCCAGUGAAGUCUCUCCUGUGCCCAGAGUGUUUUUUGAUUGUUUUCUUUUGUUCCUGUGUCAAAUGAUAUGUUACUUCAUUAAACUUACAAAAUGGCCAUUUAGCAUGCAAUCAGCUGUUUUAGAUCCUCAUCGUGCUCAUUUCACACACUGCUUCAUGUAAUUACCUCUAUUUGGUAAUUUUUGAGGUAUUUUGAGAUCAUUUACAUGGGCUUUGCUGGGCUCCCUGCCUGCUGCACCUAAGUGAAUGGCCGGUCAUCGGGAGUUUCAGGCCACGGGGAAAGUGCUCGUGUGCGGAGCCCCGUGUGCCUCACAGCCUCCGAGCUGGUGCUGGGCUCGGAAAGCCAAGAGGCCAGAGGCGCCACAUCUUUGCUUUCUCCACGUUGAUGGCGCAUGCGUGUCGGGAGUGUCUGGACUAAGCGCCCCGUCAGGCUGAUGUCUGGUUUCUGUACACUGUCUUUAAGCUGAGACUAAGAAAACCAAUUUUUAAAAAACCUGUAGGGAAUCAUAAGGUAUUAAUCAUGGAAGUCGAUCAAUGAAGCCCUACUGAGUGACUUCACCAUUUGUGUGGGAUGGCAGUUCCUGACUGACCUCUCCCUAUUGCUAGAUAUGCGUUCUAAAUUUCUCUUCAAAGAAUCAGUAUGUCAAUAUGUUCAAUUCUUUGCCUUCUACUUUUAAACUUAACUUCCUCGUAAAGCAACCUUUUCUGAUUACCUGCUCCACCCUGACUCAUUCCGAUUUCCUGCUCUGCCGUAAUCAUUUUUCCCCCCAAACCACUCACCCC
Homo sapiens (human) is the source of this 4709-nucleotide long non-coding RNA. The record is from Ensembl. Lineage: Eukaryota; Metazoa; Chordata; Mammalia; Primates; Hominidae.